AGCAACAGAGACAAUCCCUGCCCAACAACAGGCUCACAGUCUAGAAGUGGGGAGACAGACAUCAAAACAAAUAGUUGGACUUCCUAUAGAGUUAUGAGAAGAAUCAAUCAAUAGUAUUUAUUGAGUGCUUACCAAGUGCCAAGCACUGUACUGAGCACUUGGGAGAGUUCAAGAAAUGAAUGAUACUUGGGAAAAUGGAAAAAGCUCUUCCCUUUCCACCAGAACAGGCCCCUGUGGGUAGGAAGGGUGAGGAUGCCAUCAUCAGGUCCUAAGUGUCUGGAGAAGGAAGGUUUGGUCUUCUCUGCAGAAAAAGCCUAGAUGUUCCACCUGCACCAGCUAAGGUUAGGCUUCGCUGCUGUCUGCGUGGGACGUGGACAAGGUUUCGGACAAGGCCACAGAGACCAGCCUGCUGUCCAGGUGGAAUGGGGAAAGGGACACGGACAAGACCACGGAGACCAGCUUGCCAUCCAGGUGGAAGGGCAGAAUCAUGGACCACGGAGAACAGCCUGCCAUCCAGGUUUUGAACCACCUGUUCCUUGUACGUCUUCAUGGGGGCAGGCUGCCAGGGUGGGAACAACAGGUUAGGUGAGGCUGCAAGCAGCACCAGCCACCCUCUUCAGAUCAUCGACGACCAUGCUGAUGCCUGUUGCUACCGCCGUCCUACUCAUUCUCUACUAUCAGGGGCUGCCACGAAGCCUGGGAAAUGCCUGGCGUCGGCUUGAUUCUUUUGUGAGAACUGUGACGUGUGAAAUGCUCUGCCUCGCCACACCUUUCUGCAAGAAUCAGCCGCCAGGCCCCGUCCUUUGGGACACUAAGACGGUGGAUUUGGGGGAGUUGUCCACCAGCAAAUUCCUUCCCCAGAGGCGGAUUUCCAAGGUCAGGCUCUUCAACGCAGCUAUGCGAGGAAGACUGAGAGCCCCCACCCAUGGAGGAAUCAGGGGCCGAUGGGCGCUGGACCUCGGGAAAGAUGGGAGUGGGAUGACGGCAGCCCCAAUCCACUUCUCUGUCAAUUUUAUUUUCCCGUCUGAUCUGUUCCCUGGUCUGUUCCCUGCCCAGUACGAAUACAGUCCUGGAUGCCUUUA
This is a long non-coding RNA of Ornithorhynchus anatinus (platypus), 1082 nucleotides long. RefSeq lists it as uncharacterized. NCBI's taxonomy places the organism in Eukaryota, Metazoa, Chordata, Mammalia, Monotremata, Ornithorhynchidae. The record is from RefSeq and is a predicted model, not a curated record. The transcript has 2 exons.